RNAcentral lists this unclassified non-coding RNA (295 nucleotides) under Hevea brasiliensis (rubber tree). The record is from RNAcentral. Lineage: Eukaryota; Viridiplantae; Streptophyta; Magnoliopsida; Malpighiales; Euphorbiaceae.
AAAAACUACGUGGGUGGGCCGCCGCCACCACCACCACCGCCUUCUAACAACUAUGUGGGUGGGCCGCAGAACAUGGGAGGAAUACCUCAGAACAACUUUGGAGCUUCGCCUCCCAACACGGGAGGAAUGCCCCAAAAUCCUGGAUGGUCUAAUAACAUGCCACAGAACUUCCAGAAUGGGCGCAAUGAUGGAGGCAUACAUCACCAAGGUACACCAUCAAACUACCAGAAUAACUACACUUCAAAUAGGGAUGGAAGCUUGCCUGGUGGAAACCCCUAUAGUGCCUGAACGAUCC